Molecule: ribosomal RNA, 374 nt
Filed under: uncultured bacterium
Lineage: Bacteria
Description: bacterial SSU rRNA
Rfam family: Bacterial small subunit ribosomal RNA
Source: RNAcentral
AUACGGAGGGUGCAAGCGUUGUUCGGAAUUAUCGGGCGUAAAGGGUGCGUAGGCGGCCAGGCAAGCCAGAGGUUAAAGGCUACGGCUUAACCGUAGUAAGCCUUUGGAACUGUAUGGCUUGAGUGCAGGAGAGGAGAGUGGAAUUCCUAGUGUAGCGGUGAAAUGCGUAGAUAUUAGGAGGAACACCAGUGGCGAAGGCGACUCUCUGGACUGCAACUGACGCUGAGGCACGAAAGCGUGGGGAGCGAACAGGAUUAGAUACCCUGGUAGUCCACGCCGUAAACGAUGAGUGCUAGGUGUCGGGGGUUCACACCCUCGGUGCCGGAGUUAACGCAUUAAGCACUCCGCCUGGGGAGUACGGUCGCAAGACUGAA